This 465-nucleotide ribosomal RNA is filed under the name Triticum aestivum (bread wheat). RNAcentral's name for it is "partial small subunit ribosomal RNA". Lineage: Eukaryota; Viridiplantae; Streptophyta; Magnoliopsida; Poales; Poaceae. The record is from RNAcentral.
AUGCAGAAGGACUACUUUGCUCCGAACACAACUUUCCCGGAUGAUCCAUGGUUUCGUCGCCGUUUUCGCAUGCCAAAACCAUUGUUUUUGCUUAUUGUGGAGGGAGUGGAGGCACGCGAUGACUACUGCAACCUCAUAAGGGAUUGCUGCGGCCAACUAUCUUUCUGUGCUAAGCAGAAAUGCACGGCUGCUCUGAGGAUGCUUGCACUUGGUACUGCCGCAUAUGCCGUUGAUGAGAUGGUUAGAAUGGGGGAGAGCACAUGCCUCGAGACUACUGUCAAGUUUGCCUGUGCCGUGGUGCGGGUGUUUGACAAAGUAUCUGAGAGGGCCAACGCAGAAAAUUUGUUGGUUAUUGAAGAGGCCAGAGGGUUUUCAGGAAUGGUCGAAUCAAUUGAUUGCAUUCACUGGCAAUGGAAGAACUGCCCCCAAAGGUUUGCAGGGAAUGUAUCAAUGUCACACCAAUGA